Molecule: ribosomal RNA, 438 nt
Filed under: uncultured bacterium
Lineage: Bacteria
Description: bacterial SSU rRNA
Rfam family: Bacterial small subunit ribosomal RNA
Source: RNAcentral
GCAAAACGCGAAGAACCUUACCCACCUUUGACAUGUACGGAAUCCUUUAGAGAUAGAGGAGUGCUCGAAAGAGAGCCGUAACACAGGUGCUGCAUGGCUGUCGUCAGCUCGUGUCGUGAGAUGUUGGGUUAAGUCCCGCAACGAGCGCAACCCUUGCCAUUAGUUGCUACAUUUAGUUGAGCACUCUAAUGGGACUGCCGGCGACAAACCGGAGGAAGGUGGGGAUGACGUCAAGUCCUCAUGGCCCUUAUAGGUGGGGCUACACACGUCAUACAAUGGCUGGUACAAAGGGUUGCCAACCCGCGAGGGGGAGCUAAUCCCAUAAAGCCAGUCGUAGUCCGGAUCGCAGUCUGCAACUCGACUGCGUGAAGUCGGAAUCGCUAGUAAUCGUGGAUCAGAAUGUCACGGUGAAUACGUUCCCGGGUCUUGUACACACCG